AGAUGUAGUCAGCGAUAGAGCUAUAGUUGUAGUCGACGACUGAGCCGGACAGGUGGAUCCCCUCCCCUGUCUCGGUAUCUCUCAACUUGGGACUUCUCCACCGUGGUAUGAGUUUUCCGCCUGCAUUGGCGGCUUGAUAUGGUUCAGGUGUCUAUGAGGCUAUUUUGAGGGUCAGCCAGAAAUAAAAGGGCAUAUGUAAAUGCAUAUUUGCUGGGUCUUUUUUGAUACUUUUGGUAAAAGAACCUUUUGUUUUCUAUAGCUAAAUAUUUUAUUAAGAUUGGGCAGGAAGACAAGGAGGAUGUUCUGUGGUCUUCCUUGGUUUACUGAUGGUGCUUCUUUGAUUGGGUUGGUGCAGGAUAGCGGCCAAGUUUCUUCUAUGUGUUGGUGAUAUUAGUCAUGUCCUCGAUGCUUGGAAGAUAUAUAGCGAUCUGUGGGGGUAGCAGCCAGAUUUCUGCGAGCUAGGCUUUGGAUGUCCAGGAGUUUCUUACACCCCAGCAUUAGUGUUCGUGGAGUCCAUCAUUGUUGCAGCUGGUAUAUUAUCUCGCAACAACCGAGAUGAACCAUUCUUCAUCGCUUUAGUGGCCUUAAGCAAGAUCCAUGUGCUUUCCCGUGGCUCCAUUCUUUGCUAUAUACAUCUCCUGGUAUGCCGUUCUUGAUGUUCUAGGAUUUAGUAGGUUGCUUCUUGUCUCAUCUUGUACCGGUCUCUGGUUCUGUGCUCUUCUGUUGUGUUGAGGUUGUUAUCUGUAGGGCCUUAUCUUCAUGUAUGGUUCCUAUUACGAGCUUAAGGGCAUGUUCGGGAAGCCUCCAGCUUCCCAAAAUCCUUAGAUCCAGCUCCGUCAGCCCAACUCCAGCGUCUGGACUGGAGUAGUAAACGUUCGGGACAGAUUCACUCUUUCUUUUUCUCGAUCGUCUUCCCCCAUUAUCACGGGAUUUCCAAUUCCUCUCACCACCAGAUAUUCCCUCCCAUCGAGUCAAGGUCGGAGGAGCCCUUCGAGGAGGAGAUCGAGGGAGCGGAGGCCGGAGAAGCUGUUGCAAGAGUCGAUCUUGGAGGAGGACGCCGGCAGGCUCGUGGAGGCGCGUGUGAAUUGGGCUGAGCUCGAGUGGAUGGGCUUGAUGACUGCUGCCAGGUGUGGCUCGGGCCUGGGUCGUUGAUGUAGAUGAUUCCAGUGGAUGCGGAAGGAGGCGGCGUCAGGUUGGAGGCCGGGAAGAGUAUGGAGGCCGCGGCGGGGGAGCUCGGGCGGACAGGCGGCUCCGGUGGCUCGGGCAGACGGCGAGCUCGGGUGGACGGACAGCUCCGACGGCUCGGGCGGACGGCCAGCUCCGGCGGCUCGGGCAGACGGCGAUGCCGGAGUGGAGGUGCGGCGGCGGCUCGGGAGCCUGUGGUGGUUAGGUUAAGGACGGGUCGGGAGCACUUGGCGUGGUGUGGGAGAGAGCCUCGCUCGGGGAAGGAAGGAAUCGAACCGAGCAGUUUUCUCACUUGGCGGUGGCAGAGCAUCGUAAUUAAUUGCUGCUCCGCACCGAGCAGCUCCGCGGAUCAGCGAAAUAGGUGCUCCGCGAAUUACACAGCCGAAUCGUCCCGCUCCGCGGAUCUGGCUCCGUGGAGUUGCCACGUUCGGUGCUGCUCCGGGCCGAAGCACCGCGGAUCUGGGAGCCGGAGGGUUGCCGAACACGCCCUAACUCGCUGGCACCAGCUGAAGAGCUUAUCUGUCCAAGAGACCAGGAGUGGAUGCGUUUGGGGAUCAUCCUGGUUGUGUAUUCUGAUCGGUUGAAUAUGGGUGUGGUAUGGAUGGAUGAAGGCGUAGAACAGGCGCAUCCCAGCCUUCUCUUACCCAAAUCUGUGAGGCAAGCAUCUUUCCAUCGUUUUAUGGAUUGAAGAAGGCGCACAAUGAGAUCGGUCCACCCUUCUCUUACCCGGAUCAGCCAAGGGAGCAUCCUUCCAUGACAACGGCCAAAUCAUGUACCGAUGACCUCUCGACGGCGUCGUAUACGUCUAGGUCAACACAUUCACCUCAGGGGUUAUCCUGAUGGAGCUGAGAAGCGGCUGAGCCUCACUCUUCAAAGAUACAAGAGAUGUGGUGAACUGCGUAAUGUAUUAUUCAUAGCUCAUGAUUAUACUGUUUGGGCCUGCUUGAUUAUGCACCGUUGGCCUGUUGUUAAACUUUUUUACUCGACUUAUGGCCUUUCUGAAGUUUUUUUUAAAGAUAUUGUGUUUAGACAUCACUCUGCUAUAAUUUGUGCUUAAUAUCUCCUUGAGUUCUAUUCCAUUU
Non-coding RNA from Lolium perenne, 2267 nucleotides. The record is from RefSeq and is a predicted model, not a curated record. NCBI's taxonomy places the organism in Eukaryota, Viridiplantae, Streptophyta, Magnoliopsida, Poales, Poaceae.